AUACAGAGGGUGCAAGCGUUAAUCGGAAUUACUGGGCGUAAAGCGCGCGUAGGCGGUUUAAUCAGUCGGAUGUGAAAGCCCCGGGCUCAACCUGGGAACUGCAUUCGAUACUGUUAAGCUAGAGUAUGGUAGAGGGAAGUGGAAUUCCAGGUGUAGCGGUGAAAUGCGUAGAUAUCUGGAGGAACAUCAGUGGCGAAGGCGGCUUCCUGGACCAAUACUGACGCUGAGGUGCGAAAGCGUGGGGAGCAAACAGGAUUAGAAACCCUAGUAGUCC
This 274-nucleotide ribosomal RNA is filed under the name uncultured bacterium. RNAcentral's name for it is "partial 16S ribosomal RNA". It matches the Rfam family "Bacterial small subunit ribosomal RNA", at positions 523 to 796 of the family's 1533-position model. The record is from RNAcentral.